UUUGGGGGCAGUAUUUACCGACUCUUCUUCUCUGCCUCCGCCCUGCACUUGGCCGGGGCUUUGAGCCUCUUCUAUUUUCCAGCUAGACCCGGAAAAACGAAAACACAGCUUGGGAAGCCCCCACCAGCCGGCUCCUGUGCCAGCUCACCUCUGGCUGUGGCUCAGCUUGCUGGUGCACACCUCGGCCAAGGCCAGCUCCACAUUCUUCCCUCCCCCCCCCCCACUUCACCGGAGCCGGGAGCCCUGCGCGCAAAGGAAGGGCCUCAGUUCCAGACUGCCAAAGCCGACUGGGUCCCUCCACUCCAAAAAUGGUGAGACAGGAUUGAAAUCUUGUCCACUGAGGAGCCACAAAGCAG
RNAcentral lists this long non-coding RNA (356 nucleotides) under Castor canadensis (American beaver). Its description in RNAcentral is "HOXA transcript at the distal tip, conserved region 3 (ENSCCNG00000023473.1)". It matches the Rfam family "HOXA transcript at the distal tip, conserved region 3". Lineage: Eukaryota; Metazoa; Chordata; Mammalia; Rodentia; Castoridae. The record is from RNAcentral.